This 253-nucleotide ribosomal RNA is filed under the name uncultured bacterium. RNAcentral's name for it is "partial 16S ribosomal RNA". It matches the Rfam family "Bacterial small subunit ribosomal RNA", at positions 524 to 776 of the family's 1533-position model. The record is from RNAcentral.
UACGUAGGGUCCAAGCGUUAUCCGGAAUCACUGGGCGUAAAGGGUGCGUAGGCGGGUCUUUAAGUCAGGGGUGAAAUCCUGGAGCUCAACUCCAGAACUGCCUUUGAUACUGAAGAUCUUGAGUUCGGGAGAGGUGAGUGGAACUGCGAGUGUAGAGGUGAAAUUCGUAGAUAUUCGCAAGAACACCAGUGGCGAAGGCGGCUCACUGGCCCGAUACUGACGCUGAGGCACGAAAGCGUGGGGAGCAAACAGG